UCUAUUCUUAUGAUAUUUUUCUUCUUCUGAUUUCCUGCUUCUCUUAUUUUUUCCUUCUUUAUUAUUGUUCUUCUCUUUGAAAUGAAAGAAGACUGAGUUUAAAUAAAUGGGUUACUAAUGUACAAGUGAAAACUAUUUAGAUAUGAUUUUGGUAAAAAAA
Long non-coding RNA from Solanum lycopersicum (tomato), 160 nucleotides. RefSeq lists it as uncharacterized. The record is from RefSeq and is a predicted model, not a curated record. Lineage: Eukaryota; Viridiplantae; Streptophyta; Magnoliopsida; Solanales; Solanaceae.